RNAcentral lists this small RNA (19 nucleotides) under Arabidopsis thaliana (thale cress). Its description in RNAcentral is "ATSL230880". Lineage: Eukaryota; Viridiplantae; Streptophyta; Magnoliopsida; Brassicales; Brassicaceae. The record is from RNAcentral.
UUUUUUUCUAAUUUUUUUU